CCUACGGGUGGCAGCAGUGGGGAAUAUUGCACAAUGGGGGAAACCCUGAUGCAGCGACGCCGCGUGAGUGAAGAAGUAAUUCGUUAUGUAAAGCUCUAUCAGCAGGGAAGAAAAUGACGGUACCUGACUAAGAAGCACCGGCUAACUACGUGCCAGCAGCCGCGGUAAUACGUAGGGUGCAAGCGUUAUCCGGAUUUACUGGGUGUAAAGGGAGCGUAGGCGGCCUUGUAAGUCAGCAGUGAAAGGCGGGGGCUCAACCCCCGGACUGCUCUGGAAACUGUGCGGCUGGAGUGCAGGAGAGGUAGGUGGAAUUCUUGGUGUAGGGGUGAAAUGCGUAGAUAUUAGGAGGAAUACCAGUGGCGAAGGCGGCUUACUGGACUGUAACUGACGUUGAGGCUCGAAAGCGUGGGGAGCAAACAGGAUUAGAUACCCGAGUAGUC
This 440-nucleotide ribosomal RNA is filed under the name uncultured bacterium. RNAcentral describes it as "partial 16S ribosomal RNA". It matches the Rfam family "Bacterial small subunit ribosomal RNA", at positions 338 to 795 of the family's 1533-position model. The record is from RNAcentral.